UGGAUGGUAGUGUAUUGGACUACCAUGGCAAUCACGGGUAACGGAGAAUUAGGGUUCGAUUCCGGAGAGGGAGCCUGAGAAACGGCUACCACAUCCACGGAUAGCAGCAGGCGCGAAAAUUGCCCAAUCCCGAUUCGGGGAGGCAGUGACAAGAAAUAACAACCUUUGAACUUAGUUUCAGGAUUGCAAUGAGAACAAUUUAAAAACCUUAUCAAGUAACCACUGGAGGGCAAGUUCUGGUGCCAGCAGCCGCGGUAAUUCCAGCUCCAGUAGCGUAUAUUAAAGUUGCUGCAGUUAAAAAGCUCGUAGUUGAAUUUCUGCCUGUAAGAAUCAACACACUACUGUGGAGGUCUCUUCGGGCAUCUGUUUGCAAGCAUACGUUCGGCCUUUACUGGUUGGCUAUGUAAGCAAACGUUUUACCUUGAGAAAAUUAGAGUGUUCCAGGCAGGCUUCAGCCGGAAUACAUUAGCAUGGAAUAAUGGAAUAGGACUGGGGACUAUUCAUGGUUUGAGGCUCCAGUAAUGAUUAAUAGGAACAGUCGGGGGCAUUAGUACUUUACAGUCAGAGGUGAAAUUCUUGGAUUUGUAAAAGACUAACUAAUGCGAAAGCAUUUGCCAAGCAUGUUUUCAUUAAUCAAGAACGAAAGUUAGGGGAUCAAAGACGAUCAGAUACCGUC
This 676-nucleotide ribosomal RNA is filed under the name uncultured eukaryote. Its description in RNAcentral is "SSU rRNA". It matches the Rfam family "Eukaryotic small subunit ribosomal RNA", at positions 322 to 1019 of the family's 1831-position model. The record is from RNAcentral.